UACGUAGGGAGCAAGCGUUGUCCGGAUUCACUGGGUGUAAAGGGUGCGCAGGCGGGAGAGUAAGUCAGAGGUGAAAUCUCACAGCUUAACUGUGAAACUGCCUUUGAUACUGCUUUUCUUGAGUUCGGGAGAGGUUGAUGGAAUUCCAGGUGUAGCGGUGAAAUGCGUAGAUAUCUGGAAGAACACCAGUGGCGAAGGCGGCUCACUGGCCCGGUACUGACGCUGAGGCACGAAAGCGUGGGGAGCAAACAGG
Molecule: ribosomal RNA, 253 nt
Filed under: uncultured bacterium
Lineage: Bacteria
Description: partial 16S ribosomal RNA
Rfam family: Bacterial small subunit ribosomal RNA
Source: RNAcentral